GUGGGGAAUAUUGGACAAUGGGCGCAAGCCUGAUCCAGCAAUGCCGCGUGGGUGAAGAAGGUCUUCGGAUCGUAAAGCCCUUUCGACAGGGACGAUGAUGACGGUACCUGUAGAAGAAGCCCCGGCUAACUUCGUGCCAGCAGCCGCGGUAAUACGAAGGGGGCUAGCGUUACUCGGAAUUACUGGGCGUAAAGGGCGCGUAGGCGGCUCUGUUAGUCAGGCGUGAAAUUCCUGGGCUUAACCUGGGGACUGCGCUUGAUACUGCAGGGCUUGAGGACGAGAGAGGGUGGUGGAAUUCCCAGUGUAGAGGUGAAAUUCGUAGAUAUUGGGAAGAACACCGGUGGCGAAGGCGACCACCUGGCUCGGUUCUGACGCUGAGGCGCGACAGCGUGGGGAGCAAACAGGAUUAGAAACCCGAGUAGUCC
Molecule: ribosomal RNA, 425 nt
Filed under: uncultured bacterium
Lineage: Bacteria
Description: partial 16S ribosomal RNA
Rfam family: Bacterial small subunit ribosomal RNA
Source: RNAcentral